GAUGAACGCUGGCGGCGUGCUUAACACAUGCAAGUCGAACGGAAAGGCCCAAGCUUGCUUGGUACUCGAGUGGUGAACGGGUGAGUAACACGUGGGUGAUCUGCCCUGCACUUCGGGAUAAGCCUGGGAAGCUGGGUCUAAUACCGGAUAGGACGAUGGUUUGGAUGCCAUUGUGGAAAGUUUUUUCGGUGUGGGAUGAGCUCGCGGCCUAUCAGCUUGUUGGUGGGGUAAUGGCCUACCAAGGCGUCGACGGGUAGCCGGCCUGAGAGGGUGUACGGCCACAUUGGGACUGAGAUACGGCCCAGACUCCUACGGGAGGCAGCAGUGGGGAAUAUUGCACAAUGGGCGCAAGCCUGAUGCAGCGACGCCGCGUGGGGGAUGACGGCCUUCGGGUUGUAAACUCCUUUCGCUAGGGACGAAGCGUUUUUGUGACGGUACCUGGAGAAGAAGCACCGGCUAACUACGUG
This 467-nucleotide ribosomal RNA is filed under the name uncultured bacterium. RNAcentral's name for it is "partial 16S ribosomal RNA". It matches the Rfam family "Bacterial small subunit ribosomal RNA", at positions 28 to 507 of the family's 1533-position model. The record is from RNAcentral.